This 301-nucleotide ribosomal RNA is filed under the name uncultured bacterium. RNAcentral describes it as "partial 16S ribosomal RNA". It matches the Rfam family "Bacterial small subunit ribosomal RNA", at positions 509 to 808 of the family's 1533-position model. The record is from RNAcentral.
CAGUCGCCGCGGGAAUACGGAGGGUGCAAGCGUUAAUCGGAAUUACUGGGCGUAAAGCGCACGCAGGCGGUCUGACAAGUCAGAUGUGAAAUCCCCGGGCUUAACCUGGGAACUGCAUUUGAAACUGUCAGGCUGGAGUCUUGUAGAGGGGGGUGGAAUUCCAGGUGUAGCGGUGAAAUGCGUAGAGAUCUGGAGGAAUACCGGUGGCGAAGGCGGCCCCCUGGACAAAGACUGACGCUCAGGUGCGAAAGCGUGGGGAGCAAACAGGAUUAGAUACCCCCGUGUCCCUGUCUCUUAUACC